CCUACGGGAGGCAGCAGUGAGGAAUAUUGGUCAAUGGCCGGAAGGCUGAACCAGCCAUGCCGCGUGAAGGUCAGUGCCCUAUGGGCGUUAAACUUCUUUUGUGCGGGAGCAAUAAUGGUCACGUGUGGCCAGACGAGAGUACCGUACGAAUAAGCAUCGGCUAACUCCGUGCCAGCAGCCGCGGUAAUACGGGGGGUGCAAGCGUUAUCCGGGUUAUUGGGGUUUAAAGGGGGGGUAGGCUGUGAGGUAAGUCAGCGGUGAAAUGCCCCCGCUCAACGGGGUGAAGUGCCAUGGAUACUGCCUUGCUGGAAUGCGGAUGCCGUGGGAGGAAUGUGUGGUGUAGCGGUGAAAUGCAUAGAUAUCACACAGAACACCGAUUGCGAAGGCAUCUCACGAAUCCGCGAUUGACGCUGAUGCACGAAAGCGUGGGUAUCAAACAGGAUUAGAUACCCGGGUAGUC
Molecule: ribosomal RNA, 460 nt
Filed under: uncultured bacterium
Lineage: Bacteria
Description: partial 16S ribosomal RNA
Rfam family: Bacterial small subunit ribosomal RNA
Source: RNAcentral